RNAcentral lists this ribosomal RNA (302 nucleotides) under uncultured bacterium. RNAcentral describes it as "partial 16S ribosomal RNA". It matches the Rfam family "Bacterial small subunit ribosomal RNA", at positions 508 to 807 of the family's 1533-position model. The record is from RNAcentral.
GCAGCAGCCACGGUAAUACGGAGGGCGCGAGCGUUACCCGGAUUUACUGGGCGUAAAGGGCGUGUAGGCGGCCUGGGGCGUCCCACGUGAAAGGCCACGGCUCAACCGUGGAGGAGCGUGGGAUACGCUCAGGCUAGAGGGUGGGAGAGGGUGGUGGAAUUCCCGGAGUAGCGGUGAAAUGCGCAGAUACCGGGAGGAACGCCGAUGGCGAAGGCAGCCACCUGGUCCACUUCUGACGCUGAGGCGCGAAAGCGUGGGGAGCAAACCGGAUUAGAGACCCCGGUAGUCCCUGUCUCUUAUAC